AUUUUAAGAUGAGAGUUUGAUCCUGGCUCAGGACGAACGCUGGCGGCGUGCCUAAUACAUGCAAGUCGAACGCGU
RNAcentral lists this ribosomal RNA (75 nucleotides) under Lentilactobacillus hilgardii. Its description in RNAcentral is "partial 16S ribosomal RNA". It matches the Rfam family "Bacterial small subunit ribosomal RNA", at positions 1 to 71 of the family's 1533-position model. The record is from RNAcentral. Lineage: Bacteria; Bacillati; Bacillota; Bacilli; Lactobacillales; Lactobacillaceae.